GAUGCUUUUCAGGUCUUAGCGCACGCCUUGUUUUUUGAAUAGUUGAGGGAAAAUUAGUAUGAAAUCAUGCAGCCCUGGGGGGCCGGAUCCUAGGAACUUUUUGUUUGGUUUUAACGUCUUAUCCUUUCGAUGAAAAGUUGAGGCACCACAGAUGGAGACUGGGGAGAGCUGACUUUGGGAACAAUUCUUACCCUUUGCCAACUUCUGCCAGUUUCCCCAGGAUCCCCUCUGCCGGCUCUGGAGGAGUGGGGUGUCCCAGCGGGUCUCAUCCUGGUCACCAGACACCGUAGAGGAGGAAAAAUGGUUUUCUCUCUGCUGUUUGUGAUUAGCUGGCCUACAUGCAGUUCUAAGCGUUUUUCCAAAGCACAUUGUGAGAAGAAGACGGCGAGGGGAGCAUGUGGCCUUGGGGGCUGAAGUUCUAAGGAUCCUCUGCACAGGGGAGAACUCUACUCCUUGCUGUUCAUCAAGAAAUCAAGGCCCAGGGGCCCACCCCGUGGCCGAGUGGUCAAGUUUAUGCCCGCUGCUUCAGCGGCCCAGGGGUUCUCCCGUUCGUGAUCCUGGGCGUGGACAUGACACCGCUCAUCAGGCUGUGCUGAGGUGGCAUCAGCACAACCAGAAAGACCUACAACUAGAAUAUACAACUG
RNAcentral lists this long non-coding RNA (644 nucleotides) under Equus asinus (donkey). RNAcentral's name for it is "lncRNA (ENSEASG00005036671.1)". The record is from RNAcentral. Lineage: Eukaryota; Metazoa; Chordata; Mammalia; Perissodactyla; Equidae.